RNAcentral lists this ribosomal RNA (305 nucleotides) under uncultured bacterium. RNAcentral's name for it is "partial 16S ribosomal RNA". It matches the Rfam family "Bacterial small subunit ribosomal RNA", at positions 505 to 807 of the family's 1533-position model. The record is from RNAcentral.
ACAGCAGCAGCCGCGGGAAUACAGAGGGUGCGAGCGUUAAUCGGAUUUACUGGGCGUAAAGCGUGCGUAGGCGGCUUUUUAAGUCGGAUGUGAAAUCCCUGAGCUUAACUUAGGAAUUGCAUUCGAUACUGGGAAGCUAGAGUAUGGGAGAGGAUGGUAGAAUUCCAGGUGUAGCGGUGAAAUGCGUAGAGAUCUGGAGGAAUACCGAUGGCGAAGGCAGCCAUCUGGCCUAAUACUGACGCUGAGGUACGAGAGCAUGGGGAGCAAACAGGAUUAGAUACCCCGGUAGUCCCUGUCUCUUAUAC